GCCCUUACUCCUACGGGAGGCAGCAGUGGGGAAUAUUGCGCAAUGGCCGCAAGGCUGACGCAGCGACGCCGCGUGUGGGAUGACGGCCUUCGGGUUGUAAACCACUGUCGGGAGGGACGAAUACGGGGCCUCAAAUAGGGGACCCUGGGUGACGGUACCUCCAAAGGAAGCACCGGCUAACUCCGUGCCAGCAGCCGCGGUAAUACGGAGGGUGCGAGCGUUGUCCGGAAUUACUGGGCGUAAAGGGCGCGUAGGCGGUUCGUUAAGUUGCUGGUGAAAUCCCGGGGCUCAACUCCGGGGCUGCCGGCAAGACUGGCGGGCUAGAGCACGGUAGAGGCAGAUGGAAUUCCCGGUGUAGCGGUGGAAUGCGUAGAUAUCGGGAAGAAUACCGGUGGCGAAGGCGUUCUGCUGGGCCGUUGCUGACGCUGAGGCGCGACAGCGUGGGGAGCAAACAGGAUUAGAUACCCUGGUAGUCCACGCCGUAAACGAUGGACACUAGGCGUCGGGGGGAGCGACCCUCCCGGUGCCGUCGCUAACGCAGUAAGUGUCCCGCCUGGGGAGUACGGCCGCRAGGCUGAAACUUAAAUGAAUUGACGGAGG
Molecule: ribosomal RNA, 600 nt
Filed under: uncultured Gemmatimonadota bacterium
Lineage: Bacteria; Pseudomonadati; Gemmatimonadota
Description: bacterial SSU rRNA
Rfam family: Bacterial small subunit ribosomal RNA
Source: RNAcentral